Molecule: ribosomal RNA, 108 nt
Organism: Fukomys damarensis (Damara mole-rat)
Lineage: Eukaryota; Metazoa; Chordata; Mammalia; Rodentia; Bathyergidae
Source: Ensembl
GUCUACAGCCAUACCACCCUGAGAGCAUCUGAUCUCAGAAGCUAAGCAGGGUCGGGCCUGGUUAGUACUUGGAUGGGAGAAAGUGACGAUUUGUGGUAGUUAUUAAUC